Molecule: non-coding RNA, 123 nt
Organism: Triticum aestivum (bread wheat)
Lineage: Eukaryota; Viridiplantae; Streptophyta; Magnoliopsida; Poales; Poaceae
Source: Rfam
UACGUACUCCCUCCGUCAUAAAAUUCUUGUCUUAAAUUUGUCUAAAUACGAAUGUAUUUAGACUUGAUACAUCCGUAUUUAGACACAUCUAAAACAAGAAUUUUGAGACAGAGGUAGUAUCAU